This 460-nucleotide ribosomal RNA is filed under the name uncultured bacterium. RNAcentral's name for it is "partial 16S ribosomal RNA". It matches the Rfam family "Bacterial small subunit ribosomal RNA", at positions 338 to 795 of the family's 1533-position model. The record is from RNAcentral.
CCUACGGGAGGCUGCAGUGAGGAAUAUUGGUCAAUGGGCGUAAGCCUGAACCAGCCAAGUCGCGUGAGGGAUGAAGGUUCUAUGGAUCUUAAACCUCUUUUAUAAGGGAAUAAAGUGCGGGACGUGUCCCGUUUUGUAUGUACCUUAUUAAUAAGGAUCGGCUAACUCCGUGUCAGCAGCCGCGGUAAUACGGCGGAUCCGAGCGUUAUCCGGAUUUUUUUGGGUUAAAGGGUGCGUAGGCGGCCUUUUAAGUCAGCGGUGAAAGUCUGUGGCUCAACCAUAGAAUUGCCGUUGAAACUGGGAGGCUUGAGUAGGUUUGAGGCAGGCGGAAUGCGUGGUGUAGCGGUGAAAGGCUUAGAUAUCACGCAGAACCCCGAGUGCGAAGGCAGCCUGCCAGGCCAUGACUGACGCUGAUGCACGAAAGCGUGGGGAUCAAACAGGAUUAGAUACCCUUGUAGUC